GAUGAACGCUGGCGGCGUGCCUAAUACAUGCAAGUAGAACGCUGAAGGAGGAGCUUGCUCUUCUGGAUGAGUUACGAACGGGUGAGUAACGCGUAGGUAACCUGCCUGGUAGCGGGGGAUAACUAUUGGAAACGAUAGCUAAUACCGCAUGACAACAGUUAUUGCAUGAUAACUGUUUAAAAGGGGCAACUGCUCCACUACCAGAUGGACCUGCGUUGUAUUAGCUAGUUGGUGAGGUAACGGCUCACCAAGGCGACGAUACAUAGCCGAGCUGAGAGGGUGGUCGGCCAAACUGGGACUGAGACACGGCCCAGACUCCUAACGGAGGCAGCAGUAGGGAAUCUUCGGAAAUGGACGGAAGUCUGAACGAGCAACGCCGCGGGAGUGAAGAAGGGUUUCGGAUCGGAAAGCUCUGUUGUAAGGGAAGAAAGAGUGUGAGAGUGGAAAGUUCACACUGUGACGGUAUCUUACCAGAAAGGGACGGCUAACUACGUG
Molecule: ribosomal RNA, 495 nt
Filed under: uncultured bacterium
Lineage: Bacteria
Description: partial 16S ribosomal RNA
Rfam family: Bacterial small subunit ribosomal RNA
Source: RNAcentral